Perca fluviatilis (European perch) is the source of this 820-nucleotide long non-coding RNA. RefSeq lists it as uncharacterized. Lineage: Eukaryota; Metazoa; Chordata; Actinopteri; Perciformes; Percidae. The transcript is spliced from 2 exons. The record is from RefSeq and is a predicted model, not a curated record.
GUUCGGCCGAAUAUUGGGCUUUUUGACGGGGUUCGGUUUCUGCCAAACCUUAGAAUUUGUUUCCACCAACCGAACCCUAGGCUUGCACUAAGUGCGCUAUGCUGGUCGACGUAAUGACGCCGCCGUUGAUUACGGGAAGGAAUUUACGUAGGUGGACCGUUGCAGUAGUCUGUGAGAAAGUAAAAAUGGAACUCACAAGCAGAAAAAGCACCGCCCGGCAGCACCCCCAGCCAAACGAAGGCGACCCAAGCCGAGCCGCACGCCCCAACCCGCAAUGCCGACCUGUUCCGUGGUGGCAAGGACCCCAAAAAACACACAACAUUGCCGCUGCCAAAACACCUGCGCAUGAAACAUCCGAAAGAAUACGAGCCGCGCAUGAAGGAAUCUACAGACAGCUGCCAAAAUGCAGCAACUUCAGCCCUUCCUCCCUCGUUUCCUCUCCCUCCCAGGACACUUUGUGGGCUGGACUGUGCUCUGAACGGCAAGCCGAUGCAGAAGGGAGAUUGGGUGCCACGCUGCACACUGCGAUGCCCCUCCUAUUGGCCACACCACGGACAUUAGACAUGUCUGAGAGGAAGCUGCUCAACUGUAGAGAUGGAAGAAAACAGCAAUGCACAAAAAGGGAUAAGUCUAGUAACAUUUUGUAUUGUCAAUACAUCUUUUGAAAAGUCAAUCCUACAUACAUCAUUCUUCUCCCUUAAAUUUUCACAAACAUAUGCACUGUUUAUUCCUGUUUGAGUAAUGUUUGCUUAAAACUACAGUGCACAGUUGUAUUAGGACAUUGUUUAACCUGUUUUUAAAAUGAAAGUAUAUAUAAUUA